UGGGAUGGACGUUUCCCGCUGCAAACAGAGACGGGACAAAGCCGAUUUCCAAACAGAUCCAGACGCCGCUCGAGGAUGCGUUUGGCACGAGAAACGGCAGCACCACCAGCACCGACUCACCUCGUGCGCCUUUAAGUUGAGCCAAAAUGCAGAUGUUGGCACUGGCGUGGGCGGUGGCGCUGCUGUGCCCGAGGGCGUCACGGUCCGCAGAGUGUCCGGCCAGGUGCGACGUGAGGGCCUGCCCGAGCCCCGGCUGCCCCGGCGGCUACGUGCCGGACCGCUGCGACUGCUGCUUGGUGUGCGCCGCGGGCGAGGGAGAGCCGUGCGGCGGCCGGGACGGCCCGGCCUGCGGGGACGGCCUGGCGUGCCGUCGCCCGGACGCCGAGCUGCGGCCGCCGCUGCGGGGUUUGUGUCGCUGCGAGCUGAGCCGGGAGGCGUGCGGCAGCGACGGGAAGACGUACGCCAACGCGUGCCGGCUGAGGGCCGCCGGCAGGAAGGCGCAGCAGCAGGGACACCGGGACAUCGUUCAGGUCCGAACGGGACCCUGUCGCGGCGGCGCGGGUACUGCCAGUGCAACACGUGCUGCCAGCCCUCGAUACAGGUUCAACUUCAUCGCCGACGUGGUGGAGAAGAUCGCCCCGGCUGUGGUCCACAUAGAACUGUUCCUCAGGCAUCCCCUGUUCGGCCGCAACAUCCCUCUGUCGAGCGGCUCGGGCUUCGUGAUGUCCCGGCACGGGCUGAUCGUUACCAACGCUCACGUGGUCUCCAGCAACUCGCCCGUGUCGGCUCGCCAGCACCUGAAGGUCCAGAUGCAUAACGGCGACGUUUACGAAGCCAGUAUCAAAGACAUCGACAAGAAGUCGGACAUUGCCACCAUCAAAAUCCACCCUCAGACCGAGCUCCCCGUCCUGCUUCUGGGUCACAGCGCCGACUUGAGGCCCGGCGAGUUUGUGGUGGCCAUCGGCAGCCCCUUCUCCCUCCAGAACACGGUCACCACCGGCAUCGUCAGCACGGCCCAGAGGGACGGCAAGGAGCUGGGCCUCCGGGACUCGGACAUGGACUACGUCCAGACGGACGCCAUCAUCAACUUUGGCAAUUCUGGAGGGCCUCUGGUCAACUUGGACGGCGAGGUGAUCGGCAUCAAUACCUUGAAGGUCGCCGCGGGAAUCUCCUUCGCCAUCCCUUCAGACAGGAUCACUCGCUUUCUCAACAACUCCCUGGACAAGCACGGCACAAGCGAGACCUCGAUCGCGCCCCCUUCAGAUGUCCGGCCGGCCAAGAAGCGCUUCAUCGGCAUCAGGAUGCUCACCGUCACUCCGGCGCUGGUUGAGGAACUACGACAGCAGAGGCCCGACUUUCCCGACGUUCCCGCCGGCGGCAUCUACGUCCACGAGGUGGUUCCUCACUCCCCGGCGCAGAAAGGCGGCAUCAGAGACGGCGACAUCCUCGUCAAGCUGAACGGGCGCCCCGUGCUGAGCACGGCUCAGCUGCAGAGGGCGCUCCAGGAGGAGACGGCCCUCCUGCUGGAGGUGAGGAGGGACAACGAUGACCUGCUCUUCAACAUUCAACCGGACGUCAUCAUGCAAUAAACAACAGAGCGGCUCGGCGAGAAGGAACGUCUUCCUCGUCCGGAGGGAAAACCGAGCCGAUCCGCACCCGACUCCAUCUUCGGGUUGCGCCGCACAAAGGGAAAGAGACGACGUCGGCUGCUUUGACGACAAGUCAAAAAAUGUGCUGGGAUGACACGACGGCCGUAGCAUAACAUUAGCGGCGACGCGAUGGAUUGCCCGCUUGGACUUUGGGACCUAGUCCGAGAUACUGUAGUUCCCUAAAAAGGCCCCAACAAAUCUCUUUGUAGUGAUUCAGGAAUAAGGAACGAGUGAACGAUUGCGAACGCAGUCGUCGCUGGAAACUGCAAGAUUUGGUGCCAAGUUGCGUCUCCGCGUGGAGGCGGAGGCUUCCAAACGGAGAACGUACGCUCGCCCGGCGCGCGCCGUCUAGAGUUUGGGCCGCAGAGAUCCCACGGCGGGCUUGUCGGAGCAGAACUCUUUCCACCAGGACGGCCGCUCCAGCGCUCGGCGCCCCUGCGUCACCGUGGACCAGAGGUUCUUGUACAGCUGCGGCCGCACGGACACACAGUUUGCAUCACUCACUCGCGUGCGCGUUUGUCAGCGGCGGCAAGUACAAAUACUUUGUGCCCAACUCAAGCAGAUCUGUACUUUUAGUGACAACUCUUUACUUUUGAGGUCUGUACUUUCUACCGUUUACUUUGUCAAAACAGGCCGGCUACUUUUUCAGCCUCCGCACGACGUGCCAAGAGGCGAAUUCAACUGCGGUCGACAGACAUCUCGGGGCCGACCGAUUGUUUGAUACGGUCAGCUAAUGACGUGCGUUUUGUGCCGGCCGUCAAAGAACAAAACAACGGUCCCCCUUAUCAAAUAAGGUGCACUUUUUUCGGUUAUGACCCCUAAUUUUGCAUUUCUGGUGAGUCCAUUGAUAAUGUUAGCAAAGCUGUUUUGAUCUCGGGUCCAGUGGGUCUUUUCUUCUUGAGUAAUAUCCAAGUUAAUAAAAGAGGGAAACAAAGUGUUUUUUGUCCCCAUUGUGCCACGUGAUCAAAAUGGGUAUUGGAUAUAAUUGACAUUUGUACAUUUCAGAGUCUGUGCUUUUUGACUUGACUUGGGAAGAAGAGCUUAAUUAGUCUUUGAGUUAGUUAGUUAUUUGAAUGAAGUCGCGUUUACUCGGACUUGAGUCCCGUGCGUAACGAGGAACUUGCCUGCCCGUCGGCGUUGCCGAUGGGGGAGUUGAGGAUGAAGUCAGGGGGGGCCACUGGCAUCCGCCAGCGCCACCGCGUCGUCCUUCAGCUGCAAACAAAUUCACUUUACUUGAAUGUUCCGGCAGCCCGCCUUUCGCAUUUUGCACGGGACGCAUCGUUUGAACUGGAAUCAUCCUCAUCAUCAUGAGGAAGGCUAUUAUUGUGGUUAUUAUGGGGGCGGCGCGCGAGCGGGACCUGCGCGCAGAGAGUAAGAAUGGCCGUCUGGAUCAAGC
RNA transcript from Phycodurus eques (leafy seadragon), 3045 nucleotides. It is a transcript of the gene named HtrA serine peptidase 3b, with no coding region annotated. NCBI's taxonomy places the organism in Eukaryota, Metazoa, Chordata, Actinopteri, Syngnathiformes, Syngnathidae. The transcript has 11 exons. The record is from RefSeq and is a predicted model, not a curated record.